AUACUUACCUGACGCAGAGGAUACCACGAUCAACAAGGCGGUUCCUUCAGGACGAGGCUCGGAUCCAUUGCACUUCGGUCGAGCUAAACCUUGCGAAUAUCCCUAAUGUGGAUAUCUCGGGCGUAUUAUUUUUGGUAGUCGGGAACUGCGUUCGCGCUUUCCUGAU
Small nuclear RNA from Neodiprion virginianus, 166 nucleotides. RefSeq annotates it as U1 spliceosomal RNA. The transcript has a single exon. NCBI's taxonomy places the organism in Eukaryota, Metazoa, Arthropoda, Insecta, Hymenoptera, Diprionidae. The record is from RefSeq and is a predicted model, not a curated record.